GGACAAGGCAAUGUGUUGUGUUCUUGACCAAAACACUUCAUUUCACCCACGGGCAUAUGGUGUAGUGAUUAAGAGUGCAGGCUGCUAACUCCAAGAUUCUGAGUUCGAUUCCAAGCAGUGACCUGGUUAAUAAUAUCGAAAAAUACCUUAGGAAUAAGAACCCAGGUUCGAAAUUUCACCAAGACACCUGAUGAAGGCUGGAGGGUAUAUCAGCCAAAACAUUGUGUUAACAACAAACAAGAUGAGGACAAAUAUCCGUCAAAUGUAAAUAAUGUACAUAAUUCCUCAUCUCUUAAAUAUAGAACUAUACUUUAUUUCAUGUAGCUUCAGUCCACUCCGCUGGAAAAACUGAGUAAUCGUGUGAUGGACCGGUGUCCCGUCCAGGUUGGGGAUAUAUACGCCAUUGAAAUCAGGAAACUGACCCUUAUGAACCUGGGGCAAGGCUCAAGAAGGAAACAUUUAUGUAUUUGUCCAACCCAUGAUAGCCUCAUUGAAGGUGCAUGGCUCAGUGGUUAGAGUGUCAGGCUUACGAUCGUGAGGUUGUGAGUUCGAAUCUCGCACCGGGCUGCGUGUUGUGUUCUUUAUUUCAUGUUGCUCCAGUUCACUCAGCUGUAGAGAUGAGUUGCGACAUCACUGGUGCCAAGCUGUAUCCGCCUUUGAUAACAUCAGUGGUGUGGAGGAGGGAGGCUGGUAUGCAUGGGUGACUGCUGGUCUUCCAUAAACAACCUUGCCCGGACUUGUGCCUGUGAGGGUAACUUUCGAGGUGCAAUCCUAUGGUUAGUCAUUUCCGAAGGGGGUCUCAGCAGAUAACCUCAGAAAGAGGACAUAAAACCAACAUCUUGAAUGAAGCCCUUUUGACUCCUUAAUCUACAGACUAUUAAUGUCUGUUGAUCCCAUUCCAUAAUCAUAAUGGUUUUUAAUUUUAGACACAAGGCCUGCAAUUUUGGGGUAGAGUUGAUAACAUCACCCAAAGUAUGUAACUGAUACUUUACGCAGUUAAAGAUGCAUCUUUGAAAAUGUGGUGGAGUCAUGGUUGGAAGUUCUUUCAUCAUAGAUAUGCUGAAUUCGUAAUCAAAACACAAUGAUACUGGGAGCGGGGUGGGCUGGGUUUACUACAUUUGACAAUUUUGAUAGUUCAUUGUUUUGAAUGGAUUGAAAACCUUUUGUGAUCCUGGAAGUAUCCAUGGGAACUUAUUCCAAGUUUAUUCAGGUCAGAUCUCGAAGACUGUUUUAGGUGAAACCUACAGAAGGGCACAUUUGUAGUGCUACCUCUGCUGCUGCUUCCACUACUACUACUACUACUACAUGCAUUCAAUGUCACCAUCCAGAGAAAGGUCACUCAUCUGCCCACUACAAUAUCUUGUCCACCAGCAUGCUGUAUCCUCUCACUUCUUUUCCUACUGUUACUACAAUGGUCUCUGCUCUUUGGUACUAACUGGUCUUGUACCAUCUCCACUCUGGCUCUUACUCUUUCAUCUCCAAUGUUAUGUGUAACUAGAAACCAUGCCAAAACAUGUGACUGGGGCCUGGUGCUGCUCUCUGGUUCGCCAACUCCUGUCAAAUCGUCUAACAUAGAAAAUCUGUUAUAUGGUAAUGAUGAGAGUCACCAUCACUACACCAUUAAUGACUAAAACCAGUCCUUCCUCCCCAAAUUGUCAUCCUACUAGAAAUACCUCCAAACUCACGUUUUUCUUGUAGUUGUCAACUGAUGACAAUUUCUGUAGAACAUUAACAGUAUCAUUCUCACCCACCUUGGACAACCAGCAAAGACAUUGGGCCUUGAUUGUUCUGAAGAUAUACUUACAAAAACAAAAAAUGAGUUAUAGUACAUGCUUACCUCCCUUGCUUUCUUGUUUUAAACAUAUUUCUUUUACUAAUUUUCCAUCCAUCUUCUCUGCCUACAAUUCUUGGAAGGGGAGUCGGGGGCAGGGUGUCAAGUCUUCAGAUAUCACUUUUGUGGGGUUCUGUCAGGAGCAAUGGUCAUUACACUUUGUGGCUGGGUUCAUAAGUAUGACCAUCUGAUAUGUCCUCCAACCAUCUUCCACACAUCUUGCCAAUGAACAUAACUCAGAGGAACCCCAUUUCGGCCACUUGUAUUCAUGAUCGCCCUUUCGGUCAUUACCCAAUAUUCAUGACCAGAGGCAAGGACAAGCAUGAAAACCGAAUUGAAGAAAGUAAGUUUGGCUUUUUUACCAACCUCUCUUCUUUUGAAGAUGGAAUGCUGGAAUUGGCUCAUUACUGAGCCAACACUUGUAAUUCUAGCAUCCAAUUUAGCCUCCUGCUUCCCAUCACUUGUGAAUAUGACCCUGAGAUACUGAAACUUCUCCGUGUCUUGGUGAUGUGUCACUAAUAUGCAGAGUGCGCACUGAGAUGAGGUUCUCAAGAGGACCAAUGUCUCAGUCAUCAAAACACACAUUCUCGUCCCUAUUUUGCAGCACUCAAAACAAUGAACCCAUUGAAAGUAUCCUUCUGAUGGACCAAGUAGCACCAUGUUGUCUGCCGAGAUCAGCCAAGUGUGAUCCCACACUCGCUGAUUGUGAUACCACUUCCACAAUGGCUGCACACAUCAACCCACUUCAUAAAAAAUUAUGAAAAGGAGAGUUGACAAUACACAUCCCUAGCAAAAUCCAACACCCACAUUGAAAGGUUUUGACUUAGCACCAUUUAUCUGAAUACGAACAUCUGGGAAUUGGUAAAGUGACUUCACAGCAACCAGAAUUUGCCCGUUAAUCCCAAACUCCUGCAAAACCCUCCACAGCAUGUCUCAAUGUCAUAUGCCUUUUUAAGGUCCAUAAAGCAAGAGCACACCUCUUGGCAGAAUUGUUAGCACGCUGGAUGAAAAUGGUUAUGUUCUGAGUUCAAAUUCUGCCGAGGCCAACUUUGCCUUUCAUCCUUUUGGGGUCGAUUAACUAAGUACCAGCUAUGCACUGGAGUCAAUGUAAUCGACUUAAUCCCCUAGUUUGUCCCCUCUAUGUUUAGUCCCCUGUGGGCAAUAAAGAAACAAAUAUUUCACAUUUUCUUAAAGAUUUACUAUAAAGUAAAUAUCUGGUCAGUUGUGCUUUGACUAUGAUGGAUGCCACACUGUUCUUCAGCAAACCUGGGUAUGACAAUUUCCCUAUAUCUUAUUUCCAGACACCUAGCCGAAAUUUUAUCAGAGAGGCUCAACAAGGAGAUCCCUCUAUAAAUAGGGCACUCUCUCUUGUCUCCCUUGUUGUAAAAAUUAGAAUUAUCAUCUGACAUUGUUGUUACUUUGAUAUCUUUCCAGAGGUCCAAGCCACCAGGCAUUCACAAGUCAGCUAAAGGAUACCUUCUCUAUUUAAGACUCAGGUCAAAUUCCAUUCUCUCCAGCAGCCAUAUCUGAACACUUUAAUUGCCUCUGUGACUUCAACCUCUGUAGGGUUAGUCUUCAACCUUGGAUGCACCUCAUGUCUAUCAGAAGAUUUUAUCGUGACUGGAUUUAGGAGACCAGCAAAAUAUUCUCUCCACCUCCCAAACAUGCUCUUCUCUGUAAAGAGAAUCCCAACCAAGUUCUUAAUUUUUGGAAGAGGGCUUCAUGUUACAAAGACAGCAAAUAGUUUGUCAGAAUAUUUUAUUGACCAAUCUAAAGCUAGUGUCCAGCUUCACCUCAAAGUCCUCCCAUGACUUAGCCUUUGACAUUUUUAUUCGGUAUACUGCCUGCACCAAAAAGGGAGACUUGUUUCCAAACCAAGCUUUGUAAGCUUCCUUCUUUGCCCACAUGAUAUUUUUAAUUUUCUGAUUAACCCAUUAACUGUCAAAUUUAUUUAUUUAUUGGCUUUGCCAGGUGACUUAGAAGUUAAAAUAAUAUAUAGUAAAUUGGUGAGCUGGCAGAAUCGUUAGCAAGCCGGGCGAUAUACUUAACGGUAUUUUGUCUAUCUUUAUGUUCUGAGUUCAAAUUCUGCUGAGGUCGGCUUUGCCUUUCAUCCUUUUGGGGUCGAUAAAUUAAGCACUAGUUAUGUACUGAGGGUCGAUCUAAUCGACUGGCCCCUUACCCCAAAAUUUCAAGCCUUGUGCCUAGAGUAGAAAAGGAUAUAUAGUAUUUAAAUUUUCAUCAUAUGUGAAUUAUUUUGGAAAUGAUAAAUUUUUCGGAAAGUCCCAAAUGGGGAUCACU
RNAcentral lists this long non-coding RNA (4129 nucleotides) under Octopus vulgaris (common octopus). The stretch from base 502 to 559 matches the Rfam family "tRNA", at positions 8 to 63 of the family's 71-position model. The record is from RNAcentral. Lineage: Eukaryota; Metazoa; Mollusca; Cephalopoda; Octopoda; Octopodidae.